RNAcentral lists this ribosomal RNA (460 nucleotides) under uncultured bacterium. RNAcentral describes it as "partial 16S ribosomal RNA". It matches the Rfam family "Bacterial small subunit ribosomal RNA", at positions 338 to 795 of the family's 1533-position model. The record is from RNAcentral.
CCUACGGGGGGCAGCAGUGAGGAAUAUUGGUCAAUGGACGCAAGUCUGAACCAGCCAUGCCGCGUGCAGGAAGACGGCUCUAUGAGUUGUAAACUGCUUUUGUACGGGGGUAAACGCAGAUACGCGUAUCUGUCUGAAAGUAUCGUACGAAUAAGGAUCGGCUAACUCCGUGCCAGCAGCCGCGGUAAUACGGAGGAUUCAAGCGUUAUCCGGAUUUAUUGGGUUUAAAGGGUGCGUAGGCGGGCGGAUAAGUUAGAGGUGAAAGCCCGAGGCUCAACUUCGGAAUUGCCUCUGAUACUGUUAGGCUAGAGAGUAGUUGCGGUAGGCGGAAUGUAUGGUGUAGCGGUGAAAUGCAUAGAGAUCAUACAGAACACCGAUUGCGAAGGCAGCUUACCAAACUACGACUGACGUUGAGGCACGAAAGCGUGGGGAGCAAACAGGAUUAGAUACCCGGGUAGUC